Molecule: unclassified non-coding RNA, 271 nt
Filed under: fungal sp.
Lineage: Eukaryota; Fungi
Description: partial internal transcribed spacer region
Rfam family: Eukaryotic small subunit ribosomal RNA (bases 1-46)
Source: RNAcentral
AAGUCGUAACAAGGUUUCCGUAGGUGAACCUGCGGAAGGAUCAUUAACAAAAAACAAAUUCAAAAACCUUUUUUUAUUUUAUUUUAUUAUUUAUAUUUAAAUCAAACACCAUGUGAAUCUUUUUUGUAAUUUUUAUAUUACAAAAAAUAUUAAAUAAAACCAAAAAAAAUUAAAAAAAAUUAAAAUAAAAGAGAUUUUAUUCUCCUUCAAAUAUUCGAAAUUUAAUCAAAUGAAAAAAAUAACUCUUAACAAUGGAUAUCUCGGCUCUCGC